RNAcentral lists this ribosomal RNA (404 nucleotides) under uncultured bacterium. RNAcentral's name for it is "bacterial SSU rRNA". It matches the Rfam family "Bacterial small subunit ribosomal RNA", at positions 29 to 478 of the family's 1533-position model. The record is from RNAcentral.
AACGAACGCUGGCGGCAGGCCUAACACAUGCAAGUCGAGCGAAGUCUUCGGACUUAGCGGCGGACGGGUGAGUAACGCGUGGGAACAUACCCUUUGGUACGGAAUAGCCUCGGGAAACUGGGAGUAAUACCGUAUGUGCCCUUCGGGGGAAAGAUUUAUCGCCAAAGGAUUGGCCCGCGUUGGAUUAGGUAGUUGGUGGGGUAAUGGCCUACCAAGCCGACGAUCCAUAGCUGGUUUGAGAGGAUGAUCAGCCACACUGGGACUGAGACACGGCCCAGACUCCUACGGGAGGCAGCAGUGGGGAAUCUUAGACAAUGGGCGCAAGCCUGAUCUAGCCAUGCCGCGUGAUCGAUGAAGGCCUUAGGGUUGUAAAGAUCUUUCAGCUGGGAAGAUAAUGACGGUAC